UACAGAGGGUGCGAGCGUUGUUCGGAAUUACUGGGCGUAAAGCGCGCGCAGGCGGCCUUUUAAGUCUCGUGGUGAAAUGCCGGGGCUCAACCCCGUGCCCGCCGGAGAUACUGGGAGGCUGGAGACGAGUAGAGGCAAGCGGAAUUCCGGGUGUAGCGGUGGAAUGCGUAGAGAUCCGGAGGAACCCCAGUUGCGAAGGCGACCCGCUGGGCCGUACCUGACGCUAAGACGCGACAGCAUGGGGAGCGAACGGG
RNAcentral lists this ribosomal RNA (254 nucleotides) under uncultured bacterium. RNAcentral describes it as "partial 16S ribosomal RNA". It matches the Rfam family "Bacterial small subunit ribosomal RNA", at positions 524 to 776 of the family's 1533-position model. The record is from RNAcentral.